RNAcentral lists this microRNA precursor (100 nucleotides) under Ixodes scapularis (black-legged tick). RNAcentral describes it as "microRNA mir-286". The record is from RNAcentral. Lineage: Eukaryota; Metazoa; Arthropoda; Arachnida; Ixodida; Ixodidae.
UAUAUGUGCCGAAACUAGUGCUGGGUACUGUCUCUCCUCAACAUCGGGCCCCGACGUUGAGGAGAGACAGUGCCCAGCACUAGUUCUGGCACAUAUAACU